AUGUUCAAAAACAUUUAUUCAAUUUAUUUUAUUCAGUGUUCUAUUGUCUACUUGUAUUGUCACACAAGUACUCUAGCCCCAGUUAUGGUGCCAAGGUUGGAAAUCUUGCUUUGGGUUAUCCUAAGCAUUGUUACUGGUCACUCUGCAACCAACAUUAGAAAAAAAAAUAAUUUUCUAACAUCCAUCCAUGACUCCUUCUUUAUCAUUCUUAGUAUCACUAACUUACUUUAUUUGAUAGUUUUUUUUUUUUCCAAUAACAUACAACAGGUCUCUUUUCCUCUAAUCUCUUUUUAAAAAAGUAAAUUUACUAAUUCUCUAAGAUAGAAUUUUAAUCAUAUCAGCUUUCAGGCUUAAUGUAUGCUUUUUUUGUAAUUUCUAAAUUAAGUAAAAGAAUUCUCAAAUUGAUCCAGCUGCCCUCCCACUCUCUGACCUAAACAUAAUGUUUCUAGAUACAGCAGUUUGAUCCUAUUCCUUCAUGCUUAUUUUCCAUACCUGUGUAACAGGAUGACUAUUCCCUAAAUAAGAACACAGUCCCAUCUGUGAGCCACUGCUCUUUCCAUCUGAAACAAGUGCCUGUUCCAGAGCAUUGCCUUCUCUGCCUGUCAAAAUCACAUCUUUAACAUCUAUCUGAGAUACUGUAUUUUUCAUUGAGACUAAAGAAGAUAGACGUAACCUCCUUUUUCUGAACCAAUAUACUCUUAUUUUAUCAACUAAUUGAGCCUUUAAUAUGUUUCACUUACUUUUCUAAGUGUUCAUGUAAAUUAAUUUGCUUUCAAGCUAUACUACUUGUAAAAACUGUGUUGUGUUAUUUUACUGACCAUAUCCCUACUGCUGUAUUAUAAGCUCCACGAGGGGCAGUGGCUUUGCAAAGACCCCGAAUAGUUUAGGCAAAGUUCAGUAUUUAUGACUCUUUUGGAAAAGAAAUGAGUGAAAAAUAAAAGUCAUAAAAUGUGAUUCUCUUCUCAAAGUUGUUAUGAUUUUGGGAAAAUGAAAAACAACCCAAGGAAACAGGCAGUAAAUAAUAAUUUUUAGCUGCCUGGACAAUUUAUUUCCAUAAUUCUUUUAUUAAAAUGAAAAACCAGAGUGUAAAAGUUUAUGAAAAUUGAGUCAAUUGAGAAGGAUUCAAUAACUGCUAGUUAUGAUGGAAAUUCUGUUUCCAUAUAAAGCUUACCCUUUAUGUAAAAGAUAUAUUGUUAUUAAUUAUUAUUGAGAAAAUUCUUGAAAUAUACAUGCUUCCCUCUGUUCUUCAAAACAGGGUAUACCAAAAUACCACUUAUUCUUUCUUCAAUAAUGAAGUCAUCAAAAAUAUUGAUUACUAAACUAUGCAGUUAUAAGGUCAUGCCUUCAGUACUUAAGUGAGAUCGAUCAAGACAUUUGCUUUAUUGCUGCACAGGUUGCUCCUUGAGUCUUCUUCCUCAUUAUGAACAAUGAUACAGUGUUUCCACGUUAAAUAACUCUAAUCUAUGGAGCAUUCUUCUUUUCUUGAUUCAAGAAAAUUCAAGGCACAGAUAAUUCCAUAAAAUAACUCCACUGGCUCUCAGCACACAAAAACAAACAGCUGAAGUAUAUUACAAGAAUACCUCAGAGGAAGGGCUCUUUUAACAUGACUAUUUAAUGGCAGUACUGUCUCCUAAAGUUAAGUCCCCAGCAAAAAGAAACAAGGACUAUCAUGCAAGACAGCAAAAAAGACACAGAUGUGUAUAGUGGACUUUUGGACU
This 1718-nucleotide long non-coding RNA is filed under the name Capra hircus (goat). RNAcentral describes it as "lncRNA (ENSCHIG00010009504.1)". The record is from RNAcentral. Lineage: Eukaryota; Metazoa; Chordata; Mammalia; Artiodactyla; Bovidae.